ACCCUGCUAGCUCAAUUGGCAGAGCGUGAGACUCUUAAGAUAUCCGGUUUAUCUCAAGGUUGGGGGUUCGAGACCCCCGUGGGGUG
RNAcentral lists this transfer RNA (86 nucleotides) under Lipomyces starkeyi. Its description in RNAcentral is "tRNA-Lys". It matches the Rfam family "tRNA". From Rfam's summary of the family: Transfer RNA (tRNA) molecules are approximately 80 nucleotides in length. Lineage: Eukaryota; Fungi; Ascomycota; Lipomycetes; Lipomycetales; Lipomycetaceae. The record is from RNAcentral. RNAcentral also lists the same sequence under 1 other name.